RNAcentral lists this unclassified non-coding RNA (833 nucleotides) under Hevea brasiliensis (rubber tree). The record is from RNAcentral. Lineage: Eukaryota; Viridiplantae; Streptophyta; Magnoliopsida; Malpighiales; Euphorbiaceae.
AUUCAGAUAGCAAUUAAAAUCCUAAUGCACAUCUAAAUAAUGCAAAAGGAAGUUCAAAUGAGAGUUUAAAAAGGCAUUUUACAACUCAAGUUCCUAUAACUAAAAGAAAUUGAAGGCAAAAGGAAUUACAUUCCAAACUAACUAACUAACAAAGUCCCAAUCCUAUUAUAACUCGAUAUGCCUUCAAUCUCCUCGUUUUGUGACUCCAUCUCUCCUUUAUGUCUACCAAUUAGGGACUGCGUGGCUGCCUUGAAUCUCCAUUCCAGCACCUUCAUGACUUAGUAUUGAACUCCUUUAAACUCGAUAAUUGGUCCCAUAACUGAACCAUAUAUGCUGCAACUCACUUAUGCAUCAUAUGCUCACAAAACAUCCAAUCGAGGGAAAAAACAUGCACACACACACACACAUAUUGACAUAAAAUUUCAAUACACACAAAAGACACUUAAUAUACAUCAAAACCAACAUCUAAAAUACAAGAAAAAAUGAUAAAAUGACUGAAAUAAUAUUCACACUCAAAUUAGGUUGUUACAUGAAUCUUGAUCACUAAUUAUCAUCAUUCAACUAGCUUUACAUAAAAGUGGUAGAAAGGAAUGAGCAACCAUCCUCCAUAGAUUUCUCAAUAACACCAAUGUGAGUUAAGGCUUAGGACCUCCUUAAGUGCAUGAUCGAAUAUAUGGCAUGAACUCUUAAUUCCAAACUGGGUUCGUUUCUUGAAUGGAAUAUGAAGGAAGGGGCGAGCUGGGGCAAGUACAUUCGAAUCCACAUUGACCUCUCCUCCCACCCCCAAGUUAAUCCUUGUAACCCUUAAAAGAAAUUUUUUUAGGUCUAGUCAA